Molecule: long non-coding RNA, 1861 nt
Filed under: Mus musculus (house mouse)
Lineage: Eukaryota; Metazoa; Chordata; Mammalia; Rodentia; Muridae
Description: long non-coding RNA chr2:90773535-90775396
Source: RNAcentral
UUUUUUUUUUUUUUGUUUUUGUUUUUGUUUUUUUUGACACAGGAUCUAAUGGUUCCCUGGCUGGCUUGAAACUUGUUGUGUAGCUAAGGAUGACUUUGAAGUCACAAUUCUCCUCUUCCACCUGGACUGGUCUGGGUCACAGGUGUAUGUUUCUGUGCUUGGUUUUAUGCAAUGGGAUGGAACGUGGGGCUUUGUGCAUGCUAGGCAAGCAUACUACAAACUGAGCAACAUCCACAGCCCUCACAUCAGAUGCAGUUUAAUUGAAUAGCACUUAGACAAGGUUUAGGUGAUGGGUUGCUUUUGCUGGGUCACAGACCACUUUAUUAACCCUGGCCUGCUGUGGUCCCUUGCAUUGAUUUGAUUUGGCCUGCUUGGUCCCUCGCUGCAUGUCACUGUCAUAAUACCUGAAGCCAAAGCUGCCAUGUCUCAAGGCUGAUCCAGUUCAUUCUCCAUGCAGUAUAGCUAAUUUAGUAGAAGGCAGUUUAAUUCUUAACUUAAUCAUCUUUAGUGCUUAUUGCUUUAUUGUAUUGCCUUGUUCUGUUGAAAUCUUGUUAUACUGUUUCAUAAUUUAGGAUUUAUAGCUUUAUGCAUACUAUUUAGUAAAAUUAGUCUUUUCUAAAAUGUUACUGUGUGAAAGUUGGUACAUAACUGUAUUCAUAUUACUUAACGCUAACACAAGGAAAAAAGUCAUACAUACAGUUCUUUUAGCUGAAAACAGCAUUCAUGUUUUCUAGUGGAAAAGCUUUACUGUCCUUCAGCAAAAAGGAAUAGCUCAGUAAUUAUAAAAGUAGUGUGAAUUGUCAAUAUUUUUAUACAGUGUAUUACCUGUCUGCUCCAUUCACAAAGCCACUGUAAAAAGUGGGUACUGUUGGCUGACUAGGCCAGUGUCAGCAUGAGUGGCCUUCACCCUCAUCUGAAGUCUUCCAUAGUGGAGCCCUUAUUUAUGUCAGUUUUGAGAAUAAAUUUUGACAGGUUGUUGUUACAUCUAUGUAUCAGCAGUGAGAUUUUAGAUUUUUAAAGGUCUUAAGCUUCUACAUCUCCAAGCAUUCUUAGUUGACUAGAAAGCACUAGGCCAAGAGUCAGGCCUGCUCUCUUACCCCUGGCCUGGCCUGAGACCAAUGAGCUCUUACCUGGGUUUCAUUACCUCUAAAAUGAGGAAGUUGACUGAGAUGACUUCUCAUGUUUCUUCUACUCCUAAAUUCUAUGAUUUUUAGGGAGAAAAUUCCCUCAACAUUCCUGGGAUAUAUAUCUAAUAGCCCCAUAUAUUGUGAAACCUCCCUAUUGACGAUAAAGAGGGAUGGGGAAGGCUGCAAGUAAGUAUAUCCUCCUGUUUUCUCUGAUCUUUGCAAAGCUUUACCCAGCAGUGAAACUUCGGUCUUCAGUAAUAGUGUUUGUGAAAUUUGAGAAAAUUUAAUACAGUUUUUCAAGCUAAAGUGGUAGCAAUUUCAAAUCUUCUACAUCUCUGAACACUUGAAAAUCUCAAUUAUCAUUUACUUUGACAUUUUGCUCUAUAAAUUUCCUUUCAUUCAUCACAAAAAUAUAAAUUUCCUUCCCUUUCUGUUGCUAUGAUUAAGCAAAUGUAAUACACACAUAUGAAAGAAUGGGAGUUCACAGUUGCAUCCUGCAAAUGAAUUUUUAAAACUAGUAAUCCAGGUUAACCAAAAUAGGUGGAAUUUUUGUGAAAUUUGUUGUUUUGAAUGAGUUUUCACUGUGGCAUCCCACUUAACUAACCUCCUGAGAAACAACAGUAAAAAUAAAACGAAAUGAGAUUACAGAUGUACAAUUUACUUAUUUCAUUUUUGAAACAAAAAAAGAUUCUCCAGAGAAUUGUUGCCAUCUUAUAUGCUAAAAUACAUGUUUG